RNAcentral lists this ribosomal RNA (465 nucleotides) under uncultured bacterium. RNAcentral's name for it is "partial 16S ribosomal RNA". It matches the Rfam family "Bacterial small subunit ribosomal RNA", at positions 338 to 795 of the family's 1533-position model. The record is from RNAcentral.
CCUACGGGAGGCCGCCGUGGGGAAUAUUGCGCCAUGGGCGAAAGCCUGACGCAGCGACGCCGCGUGAGGGAUGAAGGUCUUCGGAUCGUAAACCUCUGUCAGCAGGGAAGCACGGUCACUGUGCUAUUCAGCAGUGACUUGACGGUACCUGCAAAGGAAGCACCGGCUAACUCCGUGCCAGCAGCCGCGGUAAUACGGAGGGUGCGAGCGUUAAUCGGAAGUACUGGGCGUAAAGCGCUCGUAGGCGGUAUGUCAAGUCAAGGGUGAAAUCCCCGCGCUCAACGUGGGAACUGCCUUUGAAACGGGCAAACUGGAGUGGGUGAGAGGAGAGUGGAAUUCGUGGUGUAGGAGUGAAAUGCGUAGAUAUCUGGAGGAACAUCAGUGGCGAAGGCGACUAUCUGGCACAUAACUGACGCUGAGGAGCGAAAGCGUGGGUAGCAAACAGGAUUAGAUACCCCAGUAGUC